AGAGAGAGACAUGCGCGCAUAUCAAUAAGCGGAGGAAAAGAAACUAACUAGGAUUCCCUCAGUAACGGCGAGUGAAGCGGGAAGAGCUCAAAUUUGAAAUCUUAAAGGUUUCCCUUGACGAAUUGUAGUUUAAAGAAGUGUUUUCUGUUGGAGUUUUGGUAAAAGUUACUUUGGAAUAGGACAUCAUAGAGGGUGAGAAUCCCGUAUUUGACCUUUACUUUCAACUUUGUGAUACACUUUCAAAGAGUCGGAUUGUUUGGGAAUGCAGUCCAAAAUGGGUGGUAAGUUUCAUCUAAAGCCUAAAUAUUGGCGAGAGACCGAUAGCGAACAAGUACCGUGAGGGAAAGAUGAAAAGAACUUUGAAAAGAGAGUUAAACAGUACGUGAAAUUGUCAAAAGGGAAGCGUUUGACACCAGUGUUGUUUUUCUGAAAAUCAAUUAAAGAACUGUUUAUGCUAAGUUGUUUAGACUUUAUCAGCUAACUGUUUAGUUUUGAGCUUUUCUUUAAUGCACUUUUCAGUUAACAAGUCAACAUCAAUUUCUUUUGCUGUAAAAAAGCUUGAGGAAGGUGGCUUGAGAUUCGUCUUAAGUGUUUAUAGCCUCUUGCCUAUGCAGUCGGAGAGAUUGAGGUCUGCAGCGUAGAUCCUUCGGGGCUAAGUGCAUUUGUGCUAAGUUAUAGCAUUUUAUAGACAACUUGUUGACUAUGAUUAGUCAUUGUAGCUUACUCGCUUAUGUUAUUUUACCUACGCUUAGGAUGUUGAUGUGAUACUGCGAGCA
RNAcentral lists this ribosomal RNA (776 nucleotides) under uncultured Neocallimastigales. RNAcentral describes it as "partial large subunit ribosomal RNA". It matches the Rfam family "Eukaryotic large subunit ribosomal RNA", at positions 23 to 646 of the family's 3401-position model. Lineage: Eukaryota; Fungi; Neocallimastigomycota; Neocallimastigomycetes; Neocallimastigales. The record is from RNAcentral.